This 253-nucleotide ribosomal RNA is filed under the name uncultured bacterium. Its description in RNAcentral is "partial 16S ribosomal RNA". It matches the Rfam family "Bacterial small subunit ribosomal RNA", at positions 524 to 776 of the family's 1533-position model. The record is from RNAcentral.
UACGAAGGGGGCUAGCGUUGCUCGGAAUCACUGGGCGUAAAGCGCACGUAGGCGGAUUGCUAAGUCAGGGGUGAAAUCCUGGAGCUCAACUCCAGAACUGCCUUUGAUACUGGCGAUCUUGAGUCCGGGAGAGGUGAGUGGAACUGCGAGUGUAGAGGUGGAAUUCGUAGAUAUUAGGAAGAACACCAGUGGCGAAGGCGGCUCACUGGUCCGGUACUGACGCUGAGGAGCGAAAGCCAGGGGAGCAAACGGG